AAUAUCUGCUAGGGGAGCUUUGCUGAGAAGAGGUUCUUAAGUAUUUAGAUGCGUAUGGAUCUCGACCCUUAUUACUUGAACCGGGUAAUACCGGCGUAAGGAAGCGUUUUUUCUAAUAU
Molecule: non-coding RNA, 119 nt
Organism: Butyrivibrio fibrisolvens DSM 3071
Lineage: Bacteria; Bacillati; Bacillota; Clostridia; Lachnospirales; Lachnospiraceae
Source: Rfam